CGUAGGCGGUGCGGUAAGUCACCUGUGAAACCUCCGGGCUCAACUCGGAGCCUGCAGGCGAAACUGCCGUGCUGGAGUGUGGGAGGGGUGCGUGGAAUUCCCGGUGUAGCAGUGAAAUGCGUAGAGAUCGGGAGGAACACCUGUGGCGAAAGCGGCGCACUGGACCACAACUGACGCUGAGGCGCGAAAGCUAGGGGAGCAAACAGGAUUAGAUACCCUGGUAGUCCUAGCCCUAAACGAUGGAUGCUUGGUGUAGCCGGUACCCAAUCCGGCUGUGCCGCAGCUAACGCGAUAAGCAUCCCGCCUGGGGAGUACGGUCGCAAGGCUGAA
RNAcentral lists this ribosomal RNA (330 nucleotides) under uncultured bacterium. RNAcentral's name for it is "bacterial SSU rRNA". It matches the Rfam family "Bacterial small subunit ribosomal RNA", at positions 570 to 898 of the family's 1533-position model. The record is from RNAcentral.